This 486-nucleotide ribosomal RNA is filed under the name uncultured bacterium. RNAcentral describes it as "bacterial SSU rRNA". It matches the Rfam family "Bacterial small subunit ribosomal RNA", at positions 28 to 507 of the family's 1533-position model. The record is from RNAcentral.
GACGAACGCUGGCGGCGUGGAUUAGGCAUGCAAGUCGAACGGUAUCAUCCUUUCGGGGGUGAGAGAGUGGCGAACUGGUGAGUAACACGUAGGUUAUCUACCCUCAAGACGGGACAACCCAGGGAAACUUGGGCUAAUACCGGAUGUGAGCAACUUUUAGUUGUUUGAAAGGUGGCGUAAGCUGUCGCUUGGGGAUGAGCCUGCGUCCUAUUAGUUAGUUGGUGAGGUAACGGCUCACCUAGGCAAUGAUAGGUAGGCGGCCUUAACGGGUGGUCGCCCACACUGGGAUUGAGAUACGGCCCAGACUCCUACGGGAGGCAGCAGUCGAGAAUAGUCUACAAUGGUCGGAAGACUGAUAGUGCGACGCCGCGUGAACGAUGAAUCCCUUCGGGGUGUAAAGUUCUUUUAUAUGUGAGCAGUGCUUCUUAUAUUAACAGUAUGGGGAGAGAGAUAUUAGCAUAUGAAUAAGCAACGGCUAACUCCGUG